AUGCGGGGCGCGCGUGGCGUCGGAGUGGCCGCGGCGCGUCAUCUCCUCGCCGCGGUGGUGCUGUGGGCCGCGUUUUCCUCCGCCGCGUCGUUCACUGAUCCCUCCGACGCGAUCGGGAUCUGGGCACUAUAUCGCGCACUGGAGUCACCAUGGCAGCUUUCUGGGUGGACAUCCAUGGGUGGUGACCCCUGCGGUGGGGACGGGGAACGUGGAUCGUGGCAUGGGGUCUUUUGCAAGGACUCGUGUGUCGUGGCUAUAAAUAUUAGUGGGCUUGGGGUUGGUGGCUGGCUUGGCCCAGAGCUGCUCAAACUCCACUCUUUAAAAGAGCUGGAUGUGAGCUUCAACAACAUCGCUGGUGAAAUCCCACCCACUUUGCCUCCAAAUGUGGAAUACCUAAAUUUGGCAGCUAACAAGUUUGAGGGAAAUAUACCACCAUCACUACCAUAUUUGCACUCCCUGAAAUAUCUGAAUCUCAGCUAUAAUAAGCUCUCUGGAAUAGUUGGUGAUGUUUUUGUUAACAUGGAAAGCUUAGUUACAAUGGACUUGUCAUUCAACUCUUUCGAUGGUGACCUGCCACGAUCAUUUAGUUCAUUGAACAACCUUCACUAUCUUUAUUUACAGCAUAAUGAGUUUACCGGAUCUGUGAUUUUGUUAGCAGACCUUCCAUUGGUAGCACUCAACAUUGAGAAUAAUCACUUCAGCGGUUAUGUGCCUGGAACUUUUGAGUUCAUUUCUGAGUUGAGGAUUGAUGGGAACCAUUUUCAACCAGGUUUCAAACCUUCAUCGUCCUCAUUUUCUAGGACCAUUCAUUCACCUCCACCCCCACAUCAUCCUCGACCUCCAUCUCCACCUCCACCUCCACCUUCACCAGCAGUCAAGCAGAACUCAAAACGCGGGCCAAAACCUCUGCAACCUUUUGUGAGCUAUGCUUCUCUGCACAGUCCUAGCCACCAUAGGAAGUCACACUCUCGAGUGACAGCUGCUGCAAUAGCUAGCGUUGUUUGCACAAUGUUUGCACUCUUCAUUGUUGGAUUGGUUCUGAAAAGCCGGAAAGGUGGUACAUGUGGCCCAAAGAGCACCGCUGACAAUAUCAAGUCUUUACCAGCCAAUUUGGAAGGAGUCCCUAAAGCAAAUGAGGUCCUGAACUCUUGGAGUUCUCUUAUGAAUGGCCAUGAUACUUCCUCUAGCAAUAAUGAUAGCAUUAUACCUGGAAGAGUUCCCAAAAGGAAAAGUUGUGCUAAGACAUCUAAAAAUCUUGCACCUGCAAAACAGUUUCUGGCAGUUGACAUUAUGGCGGCUACCCGGAACUUCAAUGAAGAAUGCCUUAUCGGUGAAGGUUUCACUGGCCGAGUUUACAGAGGUGAUUUUCCUGAUGGCCAGCUGCUGGCUAUCAAGAAGAUCAACAUGAUAGAUUUAUCAUUGUCAGAACAAGAUGAGCUCAUGGACAUUCUCGGGAAUAUGUCCAGAUUAAAGCACCCUAAUAUAUCUUCGCUUGUGGGCUACUGUGUGGAGUUUGGGCAUUGUGUGCUUUUAUAUGAGUAUGCAGAAAAUGGUUCUCUUGAAGAUCUUCUGUUUUCAGCAGCCACAAGGUCGAGGGCUUUGUCAUGGAAAGCUCGGAUGAAGAUUGCUCUUGGGGUUACCUAUGCUCUAGAAUACAUACAUUUGAUGUGCUCCCCUCCAUUUGCCCAUGGAAAUAUUAAAGCUACAAAUAUUUUACUUGACGCUCAGCUCAUGCCCUACCUCAGUCACUGUGGGUUAGCGAAGUUCAGCCAUUUUGUCAGCGCCACAAGAAUGGAUUCAGAAGCCCUCAGUGGUGCUAAAGGCUAUGCUGCUCCUGAGGCUAAUGGUUCAGGAACAGAUAUAAUCAAAGCUGAUAUUUACAGUUUUGGCGUGAUAUUGCUUGUGCUUUUGACUGGGCAAAAGGCUUUUGAUAGUUCAAGAGGGCCGAAUGAUCAGUUUCUAGUUGAUUGGGCAUCUCCUCAUCUCCAUGACCUUAAUUCUCUGGGAAGAAUAACGGAUCCAAGAAUACGUGGCUCUAUGCCACCUAAAGCUAUUUCUGCAUUAGGCAACAUCAUCUUGCUUUGCAUCAAGCAGUCACCGGAUUCCCGCCCGCCGAUGAAAGUCAUAACAGACAAAUUAGUAAAGCUUGUCCAGAGCAACACGGUAAAUAAGUUGGAGGCUGAUGCUCAGGACCCCUCUUUCAUAACAACCCGACCAUAUUUUGAGCCAUCCUCCACCGUCAGCCAGGGUGCAACUGAGAGCUGCAUCUCCCAGUGA
This 2277-nucleotide ribosomal RNA is filed under the name Triticum aestivum (bread wheat). RNAcentral's name for it is "partial small subunit ribosomal RNA". Lineage: Eukaryota; Viridiplantae; Streptophyta; Magnoliopsida; Poales; Poaceae. The record is from RNAcentral.